UGAGUACACACACAAGCCUGAGCAUGCACCGUCACAUCCAUAGUAACAACGAACAUUGAUCCUUUUUUUAUUCUGUUGUUUUGGUUUUCUCCAAACAAGGUCUACAAUGUGUUUUAAGUCCAUGAAGCUUAGGCCUUUGUGCAAAUGAUUGUUGACUGUAAAUUUCACUAAUGCACUGAUUUUCAAUUGAGAAUUAGUGGAUGUUCAGACUAGGGAAGAUGGUCUGGAGAAAAUAUUGUCCACAGAUUAAGACUUGCACUGUAUUUGAUCAUUGAUUCUCAAAUAUAG
RNAcentral lists this unclassified non-coding RNA (288 nucleotides) under Hevea brasiliensis (rubber tree). The record is from RNAcentral. Lineage: Eukaryota; Viridiplantae; Streptophyta; Magnoliopsida; Malpighiales; Euphorbiaceae.